This 494-nucleotide ribosomal RNA is filed under the name Acinetobacter baumannii. RNAcentral describes it as "bacterial SSU rRNA". It matches the Rfam family "Bacterial small subunit ribosomal RNA", at positions 8 to 498 of the family's 1533-position model. The record is from RNAcentral. Lineage: Bacteria; Pseudomonadati; Pseudomonadota; Gammaproteobacteria; Moraxellales; Moraxellaceae.
AGAGUUUGAUCAUGGCUCAGAUGAACGCUGGCGGCAGGCUUAACACAUGCAAGUCGAGCGGGGGAAGGUAGCUUGCUACCGGACCUAGCGGCGGACGGGUGAGUAAUGCUUAGGAAUCUGCCUAUUAGUGGGGGACAACAUCUCGAAAGGGAUGCUAAUACCGCAUACGUCCUACGGGAGAAAGCAGGGGAUCUUCGGACCUUGCGCUAAUAGAUGAGCCUAAGUCGGAUUAGCUAGUUGGUGGGGUAAAGGCCUACCAAGGCGACGAUCUGUAGCGGGUCUGAGAGGAUGAUCCGCCACACUGGGACUGAGACACGGCCCAGACUCCUACGGGAGGCAGCAGUGGGGAAUAUUGGACAAUGGGGGGAACCCUGAUCCAGCCAUGCCGCGUGUGUGAAGAAGGCCUUAUGGUUGUAAAGCACUUUAAGCGAGGAGGAGGCUACUCUAGUUAAUACCUAGAGAUAGUGGACGUACUCGCAGAAUAAGCACCGCAC